AGGGAGCUAGUCCAAAGAAAGACCCUUGAUUUCGGCUCAAAUAAUUGCGGUGUAAACCCGUAACUCCCUU
Non-coding RNA from Danio rerio (zebrafish), 70 nucleotides. The record is from Ensembl. NCBI's taxonomy places the organism in Eukaryota, Metazoa, Chordata, Actinopteri, Cypriniformes, Danionidae.